AGACGAUGAAACUGCUGUUGUCGACCCUCAACUCAGGGUUAAAGGUAUAAAGAGUCUGAGAGUAGCCGAUGCAUCAGUAAUGAGAAAUAACCCUUCGGGCAACACCAAUGGUCCGACAAUGAUGAUAGCCGAAAGAGCUGCUGAUUUUAUCAAAAAUAGCAAGUGACAACAAUAGACGUCUUAUAAAGUUUUCUAUAAUUUAGUUUGUACUACAUGUCAACUGAAUUUUGUUGUCAACAGUAAACAUAUUUUGAAAUUUUAUACUGUUUAUAGUUUGUCAGUGAAUUAUGUUAUCAUCACUACUCAUGUUUUAAGUCUUCUGUCGUGAGGCGUAUUUGCUACUCCAUGGAAUUGCAGUUCCUUGAUGUAACAAAUACACGACAAUUUGUCCACCAUUUACUUCUAGUGGUAGCCAGUGAACACAACUAUUCCUUAUUUCGUGUUAAAUGUUAUCAGCUUAUACUUCAGCUUAACUCUGACAAGAAACAUUUACUGGUACUUACGCAAAAAAAAACGAACACCAAAUACAAUAACAGAUUUGAAUUCUUCUAAUUAAUAUCUAAAUAUGCUAAUCAUUUGUUAUUUGCAUGAGCUAUAAUAAAUAAACUUUAUCAUAUGC
This is a long non-coding RNA of Mytilus californianus (California mussel), 619 nucleotides long. RefSeq lists it as uncharacterized. The transcript is spliced from 2 exons. The record is from RefSeq and is a predicted model, not a curated record. NCBI's taxonomy places the organism in Eukaryota, Metazoa, Mollusca, Bivalvia, Mytilida, Mytilidae.